AGGUACCAUAAUAACCAAUUCUCCUCUCCUCCAGAAGUGAAUAUCGGUUAGAGUUUCUGGAAAAUGAAAAUACUUCUGACGUUUUAGAACUUUUCAAAAAACAAUCAUAGCAUUUAGUAAUAUACGUUAAGGUAUUUAUUUAAAUCACAUACCUCCUCAUGCCUCAUUCGCUUAUAGUUGAUUCUGUUUCGAAAAAUAUAGGAAACAUUUGAGAAGGUCAAAG
RNAcentral lists this long non-coding RNA (223 nucleotides) under Brassica rapa (field mustard). Its description in RNAcentral is "long non-coding RNA (BRAP_LNC004585)". Lineage: Eukaryota; Viridiplantae; Streptophyta; Magnoliopsida; Brassicales; Brassicaceae. The record is from RNAcentral.